Molecule: unclassified non-coding RNA, 100 nt
Organism: Cercocebus atys (sooty mangabey)
Lineage: Eukaryota; Metazoa; Chordata; Mammalia; Primates; Cercopithecidae
Rfam family: Y RNA
About the family: Y RNAs are components of the Ro ribonucleoprotein particle (Ro RNP), in association with Ro60 and La proteins. The Y RNAs and Ro60 and La proteins are well conserved, but the function of the Ro RNP is not known. In humans the RNA component can be one of four small RNAs -- hY1, hY3, hY4 and hY5.
Source: Ensembl
GGCUGGUAUAAGUGCAGUGGUUUACAACUAAUUGUUCACAACCGGUUAUAUACUUCCUUGUUCCUUCUCUACUCCCACUGCUUCACUUGACUGGCCUUAA